UAAGGAAUAUUGCUCAAUGGGAGAAAUCCUGAAGCAGCAACGCCGCGUGGAGGAUGAAGGGUCUAUGACUUGUAAACUCCUGUAAAGAAGGAAAAAAUUCCCAUUUGAUGGGAGAUGAUGGUACUUCUGGAGUAAGCCCCGGCUAACUACGUGCCAGCAGCCGCGGUAAUACGUAGGGGGCAAGCGUUGUCCGGAUUUGCUGGGUGUAAAGGGUGCUCAGGCGGAUUUGUAAGUCAGAGGUGAAAUCUUACAGCUUAACUGUGAAACUGCCUUUGAUACUGCAAGCCUAGAGUAUGGAAGAGAGUGAUGGAAUAUCUGGUGUAGCAGUGAAAUGCGUAGAUAUCAGAUAGAACACCAAUGGCGAAGGCAGUCACUUGGUCCAUUACUGACGCUAAAGCACGAAAGCGUGGGUAGCAAACA
Molecule: ribosomal RNA, 420 nt
Filed under: uncultured bacterium
Lineage: Bacteria
Description: bacterial SSU rRNA
Rfam family: Bacterial small subunit ribosomal RNA
Source: RNAcentral